RNAcentral lists this ribosomal RNA (532 nucleotides) under uncultured bacterium. RNAcentral's name for it is "bacterial SSU rRNA". It matches the Rfam family "Bacterial small subunit ribosomal RNA", at positions 975 to 1509 of the family's 1533-position model. The record is from RNAcentral.
UUGGCCUUGACAUACUAAGAACUUUCCAGAGAUGGAUUGGUGCCUUCGGGAACUUAGAUACAGGUGCUGCAUGGCUGUCGUCAGCUCGUGUCGUGAGAUGUUGGGUUAAGUCCGCAACGAGCGCAACCUUUCCUUAUUUGCCAGCGGGUAAUGCCGGGAACUUUAAGGAUACUGCCAGUGACAAACUGGAGGAAGGCGGGGACGACGUCAAGUCAUCAUGGCCCUUACGGCCAGGGCUACACACGUGCUACAAUGGUCGGUACAAAGGGUUGCUACCUCGCGAGAGGAUGCUAAUCUCAAAAAGCCGAUCGUAGUCCGGAUCGCAGUCUGCAACUCGACUGCGUGAAGUCGGAAUCGCUAGUAAUCGCGGAUCAGAAUGCCGCGGUGAAUACGUUCCCGGGCCUUGUACACACCGCCCGUCACACCAUGGGAGUUUGUUGCACCAGAAGUAGGUAGUCUAACCGCAAGGAGGACGCUUACCACGGUGUGGCCGAUGACUGGGGUGAAGUCGUAACAAGGUAGGCGUAGAUGA